RNAcentral lists this unclassified non-coding RNA (396 nucleotides) under uncultured Actinomycetes bacterium. RNAcentral's name for it is "uncultured actinobacterium contains 16S-23S intergenic spacer region". The record is from RNAcentral. Lineage: Bacteria; Bacillati; Actinomycetota; Actinomycetes.
UCCGAGUUGUCCCCGGCAGUCCUCUUAGAGUCCUCGGCAUUGCCCGCUGUCACCCGUGAGAUGACAGGGAGGGUUUCGCCGAUAUGAGCCGGGUUGUCGGCGGAGGAUUGCUCCUCCGUGGGCCAUCUAUCAAAUAGCCAUGCAACACCUGUGCUAGCCCCUUACGGACACGGGCUUUCACCCGCUUUAACUAGCAUGUCAAACCCAGGUAAGGUUCUUCGCGUUGCAUCGAAUUAAGCCACAUGCUCCGCCGCUUGUGCGGGCCCCCGUCAAUUCCUUUGAGUUUUAGCCUUGCGGCCGUACUCCCCAGGCGGGGUGCUUAAUGCGUUAGCUUCGGCACGGAAAGGGUUGAAGACCUCCCCACACCUAGCACCCAACGUUUACGGCUGGGACUAC